RNAcentral lists this small RNA (107 nucleotides) under Marmota monax (woodchuck). Lineage: Eukaryota; Metazoa; Chordata; Mammalia; Rodentia; Sciuridae. The record is from RNAcentral.
CCUGGAGUGGCAGUGCACGCCUGUAAUCCCAACAACUUGGAAGGGUGAGGCAGGAGAAUUGCAAGAUCAAGGGCAGCCUCAAGCAACUUAGCAAGACCCUGUUUCUA